RNAcentral lists this ribosomal RNA (458 nucleotides) under uncultured bacterium. RNAcentral's name for it is "partial 16S ribosomal RNA". It matches the Rfam family "Bacterial small subunit ribosomal RNA", at positions 338 to 795 of the family's 1533-position model. The record is from RNAcentral.
CCUACGGGUGGCAGCAGUGAGGAAUAUUGGUCAAUGGGCGAGAGCCUGAACCAGCCAAGUCGCGUGAGGGAGUACUGCCCUAUGGGUUGUAAACCUCUUUUGUCGGGGCGCAAAAGCCGGACGUGUCCGGCUGUGAGAGUACCCUAAGAAAAAGCAUCGGCUAACUCCGUGCCAGCAGCCGCGGUAAUACGGAGGAUGCGAGGGUUAUCCGGAUUUAUUGGGUUUAAGGGGUGCGCAGGCGGAUUUUUAAGUCAGCGGUAAAAUCGUGGGGCUCAACCCCAUCCAGCCGUUGACACUGGGGAUCUAGAGUGUGCGAGAGGUAGGCGGAAUGCGUGGUGUAGCGGUGAAAUGCAUAGAUAUCACGCAGAACCCCGAUUGCGAAGGCAGCAUACCGGUGCACAACUGACGCUCAGGCACGAAAGCGUGGGUAUCGAACAGGAUUAGAUACCCGGGUAGUC